Molecule: ribosomal RNA, 472 nt
Filed under: uncultured bacterium
Lineage: Bacteria
Description: partial 16S ribosomal RNA
Rfam family: Bacterial small subunit ribosomal RNA
Source: RNAcentral
GACGAACGCUGGCGGCGUGCUUAACACAUGCAAGUCGAGCGGAAAGGCCCUUCGGGGUACUCGAGCGGCGAACGGGUGAGUAGCACGUGAGUAAUCUGCCCUUGGCUUUGGGAUAACUACCGGAAACGGUGGCUAAUACCGGAUACGACAACCGUCUGCAUGGGCUGGUUGUGGAAAGUUUUUUCGGCCAGGGAUGUGCUCGCGGCCUAUCAGCUUGUUGGUGGGGUAAUGGCCUACCAAGGCUUCGACGGGUAGCCGGCCUGAGAGGGUGACCGGCCACACUGGGACUGAGACACGGCCCAGACUCCUACGGGAGGCAGCAGUGGGGAAUAUUGGACAAUGGGCGGAAGCCUGAUCCAGCAACGCCGCGUGAGGGAUGACGGCCUUCGGGUUGUAAACCUCUUUCAGUACCGACGAAGCGCCGAUGAUGGUGGUGACGGUAGGUACAGAAGAAGCACCGGCCAACUACGUG